Arabidopsis lyrata subsp. lyrata is the source of this 1494-nucleotide long non-coding RNA. RefSeq lists it as uncharacterized. The transcript has 2 exons. The record is from RefSeq and is a predicted model, not a curated record. Lineage: Eukaryota; Viridiplantae; Streptophyta; Magnoliopsida; Brassicales; Brassicaceae.
AGAUCAUCGGAACGUUUACCAGCUAACACACGGCCACAAUAAACAAAUUCAUCCCUAAUCUACGAUGGCAGGACUCGACUUUUUACCAGCUAACAUGUAGAAUUUUGAUAAGCUUUGCAUCCAUUAAUUUGUAAGAAAGUGCACUUUCUAAAAUCGAACCUCAAACUUAUUAGUAUAGAACAUUUUAAACUGUUGACCACUAAAGUAGAUCCUAUCAAGAAUAUCUAUACAGGAUGACAAAAUUUUUUUUUUUUUUUUUUAGUCAAAGGGGAAUUCAUUAGAUUACGAUUGAGGGAAAUACAAAGGGUUUACACCAAAAACAGACUUAGCAAGGAGGUCUGCUCGGUGAUUGUUUUCACGAUUGAUAAAAGAAAAACUAAAUUGCGAAAAGCUAGAAGAUAGAGAUAGGAUAUCGUGGAGUAUCCCAUGGAGCUCAAUUGGAUGAGCUCCUCUAUUGAUUGCUUUGAUUAGCAUCUGCGAAUCUGAAGCAAAAGAGACUUUUGUGAAUUCAAGGUCCAAAGCGUGUUGGAUUGCGAGGAGAAGGGCGUUUGCUUCCGCCAUCACGGGGGGUUCCAAUGUUCUUGGCCGUAGAUCUGCCCUGGAACUCUUUCUUCCCCAAGUGAUCGAUCAAUAACCAUCCAAAACCCGCUUCGUGUGACUCAGCUCGCCAGGAGGCAUCCGAGAAGACCCGGAUUGUCUCGAGAUCAUACUCAGAAGUCUCAAUCGGGACUCUUUGGGUGCGAGUCGGAGAUACUGUCUCUCGGCAAGCAGCCAUUCUUUGGCGUGAGCAAUAGACUGAGAGAUUACCUCCGGAGCCGUGGCCUGUCGAUUUUCAAAAAUCUUCUUAUUCCGGGAGGUCCAAAUUGUCCAUAGGAUCCAUGGGAAGAGAGGGCCAUCACUUAUACCCACUGGAGGCAGGCAAAUUAGGCGCUUAGAAGUCUCUAUUACCGUUCUUAGAGGAGUAGUUAGGUUUACAAUGGGAAGAUGAUGAAACGGGGCAAUCUCCCACACCUGUUUAGCAAAGUUGCAGAGGAAAAAUAGGUGAGUAAUAGUUUCCUCUAGGCCACAGUGGGGGCAAGUCGCAUAUGUGUUAAUGCCUCUAAAAGACAGGUUUUCUCCAAUUGGAAGUGCGUUUCUCAUCGCUUUCCAGAGGAAGAACUUGAUUUUUGGAGCACUUUUAAUCUGCCAGAUCUCUGCCAUCCAAUUAAAGUCUUGUUGGUUGCAGGAUUGAAGAGUUGUUUCUCUGUUUGACCUGUUUGCUUCAUGAUAUCCAGAUUUUGCAGAAUAAUCUCCCGUCUUUGAAGGUAUCCAGGUACGGGUUUCUGGACAGAGGAGGUGAGAGACCGACUAGUUUUGAGAAUGCUGUGCCGGAGGCCACAGGAUGACAAUUAAGAUUCAAUAAUUAGUUCCUCUCUCAGACCAUUUGAUAUUUACUGUAUAUGUAGAAAAGACAACUCCAUCCUUCACUAGAAUUAAACUUUUUAUUUUCUAAUU